This 263-nucleotide long non-coding RNA is filed under the name Homo sapiens (human). Its description in RNAcentral is "HSALNT0280297". Lineage: Eukaryota; Metazoa; Chordata; Mammalia; Primates; Hominidae. The record is from RNAcentral.
UGUGAAUUUCACUUCCUGACAUUUUCAGUGUGAGUGAACCCAGGGAGAGGCCAAGCAUAGUUUUUUGAGGAGUGAAACUUCCAGCAGCAAACCGCUUGGAUAAUUACUCAAGGUUUUCCCUACAGUAUUUUCUAAGGCAAUGUUGAACCAUCAGAAGGUGAAGUGGAAGUUUUCCUUUGGACCCUGCAGAAGCAAAUAUGAGAAUCCAACUGCUUCUAUUUAGGCAGGCACUGAAGAGAUAGCAAAAUGUAAGACAAUGCCAU